Molecule: ribosomal RNA, 440 nt
Filed under: uncultured bacterium
Lineage: Bacteria
Description: bacterial SSU rRNA
Rfam family: Bacterial small subunit ribosomal RNA
Source: RNAcentral
CCUACGGGAGGCAGCAGUGGGGAAUUGUUCGCAAUGGGCGCAAGCCUGACGACGCAACGCCGCGUGGAGGAUGAAGACCUUCGGGUCGUAAACUCCUUUCGAUCGAGACGAACAGCUUCCGGGUGAACAGUCCGGAGGUUUGACGGUACCGAGAGAAGAAGCCCCGGCUAACUCCGUGCCAGCAGCCGCGGUAAUACGGGGGGGGCAAGCGUUGUUCGGAAUUACUGGGCGUAAAGGGCUCGUAGGUGGCCAACUAAGUCAGACGUGAAAUCCCUCGGCUUAACCGGGGAACUGCGUCUGAUACUGGAUGGCUUGAGUUCGGGAGAGGGAUGCGGAAUUCCAGGUGUAGCGGUGAAAUGCGUAGAUAUCUGGAGGAACACCGGUGGCGAAGGCGGCAUCCUGGACCGACACUGACACUGAGGAGCGAAAGCCAGGGGAGC